This 68-nucleotide transfer RNA is filed under the name Jacobiasca formosana. Its description in RNAcentral is "tRNA-Gln". The record is from RNAcentral. Lineage: Eukaryota; Metazoa; Arthropoda; Insecta; Hemiptera; Cicadellidae.
UGUAAAAAAGUGUAAGAAGCACAUAAAUUUUUGAUAUUUAUAGGUAAGUUUAAUUCUUAAUUUUACAA